Molecule: long non-coding RNA, 251 nt
Organism: Manacus vitellinus (golden-collared manakin)
Lineage: Eukaryota; Metazoa; Chordata; Aves; Passeriformes; Pipridae
Exons: 3
Source: RefSeq, a predicted model, not a curated record
UGUGAUCUUAGGCCUGAUACCUACAGCCCUCCUGCAGGCCUCUUUUAAGAGGAUGCUUGUCCUUGGAAGGGAGAGCCUAUUUACUCUCCUGUGUCGGUAGCAUGUGGAAGAAAGGACAAGAGGAGAGGCAGAGCUAUAAGGAGCCUGUACCAGCCCACUGAAAAAAGCAGACUAGAAAUAAGAAAUGGGUCUGUUGCAAAUGAAGUGGAAGGUCGAAGGAGCUUGCUGGCCCUUGGCUGAUGUGUGCAUCU